RNAcentral lists this ribosomal RNA (572 nucleotides) under Scrippsiella donghaiensis. Its description in RNAcentral is "partial large subunit ribosomal RNA". It matches the Rfam family "Eukaryotic large subunit ribosomal RNA", at positions 64 to 594 of the family's 3401-position model. The record is from RNAcentral. Lineage: Eukaryota; Dinophyceae; Peridiniales; Peridiniaceae.
ACUAAAUAGGAUUCCCUCAGUAAUGGCGAAUGAACAGGGAUGAGCUCAGUAUGGAAAUUGGGGCCUGUGGCCUUGAAUUGUAGUCUGGAGAUGUACCACCAACUGGGGCGCAGAUGUAAGCCUCUUGGAAAAGAGCAUCAAUGAGGGUGAGAGUCCCGCAUGGCAUCUGCAGUCCCCAGUGCACGGUGUACCUUCUAAGAGUCACGUUCCUCGGGAUUGGAGCGCAAAUCGGGUGGUAAAUUUCAUCUAAAGCUAAAUAUAGUUUCGAGACCGAUAGCAAACAAGUACCAUGAGGGAAAGGUGAAAAGGACUUUGAAAAGAGAGUUAAAAGUGCCUGAAAUUGCUGAAAGGGAAGCGAAUGGAACCAGCGAAACUUGGCAAGAUUGCUGUGUGUCAAUGUGAUUGCUUGCUGCUGCAACGUAAGUGUGGUAGUAAGUCUUGAGCAGGACAUGCUCGGUGUUUCUUGCCUUGUGUGUCACCUGUGGUUCGUGAUUGAGGAAAACUUCAGGGACAUGGUAGCCUGUCUCCGGGUGGGUGAACGUGUCUGCUGGAACUCAUUCGUGGACUGCUUG